GUAUAUUCAGUCAAGAAACCAGUUUGUGAAAUUGAAUGCUCGAGUCAUUCAGAAUGUCUAGAUGGAUACAGUUGUCAAACAGAAGGAUGUGAUCGUAUUUGCAGACCUAAAAGAGUGAUUUUAUCAAAUUCAGCAAUUAGAUCCGACAUGAGUUCAUCUGGAUGCGUUCAGAGAUGUAUGGACAGGGGCGGGCUAGGUUGCAGAAGUCUUUGUCAGCGUAGUAUAGAUUCAUUGUCAGGAGGUCAAAUAAUUCCUGGUGGUUUCUUAGACAGUGGAUUCCAAGAUGCUUUAGUAGAUCCUAUUCGGUCAGGUAGUCUUAUAAGACAUAUCUCGCCAGUAGGUAAUUCUAUUCGGUCAGAUAGUCUUCUUGGACGUAUCUCGCCAGUAGGUGAUUCAAUUCGGUCAGGUAGUCUUGUUAGACAUAUCUCGCCAGUAGGUGAUUCUAUUCGAUCAGGUAGUCUUCUUGGACGUAUCUCGCAAGUUGAUUCAAUUUUACAUAAAGGCUGUCAAAAUACAUGCAUUUCACGAGGCUGCAACUUCAACGAGGAAUGUGUCACACGGGAUGGAUGUUCUGUAUGUGUUCGUGCCAAGACCUACCCAUAAGAUAAG
Molecule: long non-coding RNA, 609 nt
Filed under: Mytilus galloprovincialis (Mediterranean mussel)
Lineage: Eukaryota; Metazoa; Mollusca; Bivalvia; Mytilida; Mytilidae
Source: RNAcentral